GGAUGUGAGGACGAUCUGGCUGCGACAUCUGUCACGCCAUUGAUCGCCAGGGUGAUCUGCCUGGCUAGGCGGGUGUCCCCUUCCUCCUCACGCUCCAGGUACAUCCCUCCUGAGGCUGCACGCUCGGUAGAAGAGGACGACCAUCCCCGCUAGAGGAGGACCGGUCUUCGGUCACGAGUAGCUGUGCUCCCCUGCUAGAACCUCCAAACAAGCCCUCAGAAAGACAGACAGAAAGAGCUUCCAUCCACUGAUUCACUCUUUAAGUGGCCAGUCCAAACCCAGGAAUCAGGAGCUUCUU
This 298-nucleotide small nuclear RNA is filed under the name Ochotona princeps (American pika). RNAcentral's name for it is "7SK RNA (ENSOPRG00000020952.1)". It matches the Rfam family "7SK RNA". Rfam says of the family: 7SK was discovered as an abundant small nuclear RNA in the mid-70s but a possible function has only recently been suggested. Two independent studies have found that 7SK RNA binds the CDK9/cyclin T complex (known as elongation factor P-TEFb). The record is from RNAcentral. Lineage: Eukaryota; Metazoa; Chordata; Mammalia; Lagomorpha; Ochotonidae.